This 73-nucleotide transfer RNA is filed under the name Ixodes scapularis (black-legged tick). It matches the Rfam family "tRNA". From Rfam's summary of the family: Transfer RNA (tRNA) molecules are approximately 80 nucleotides in length. Their secondary structure includes four short double-helical elements and three loops (D, anti-codon, and T loops). The record is from Rfam by way of RNAcentral. Lineage: Eukaryota; Metazoa; Arthropoda; Arachnida; Ixodida; Ixodidae.
CCUUGGUUAACUCAGUUGGUAGAGCGCUCCACUGGAAAUGGAGAGGUCCCGGGUUCGAUACCCGGACCAGGCG